Molecule: ribosomal RNA, 665 nt
Filed under: uncultured bacterium
Lineage: Bacteria
Description: bacterial SSU rRNA
Rfam family: Bacterial small subunit ribosomal RNA
Source: RNAcentral
GUGCCUAUAMUGACAAGUCGAACGAGGUAGCAAUACCUAGUGGCGCACGGGUGAGUAACGCGUGGAUAAUCUGCCCUCGAGUUGGGGAUAACCAGUCGAAAGAUUGGCUAAUACCGAAUAAGACCACAAGAACUGAGGUUCAAGGGGUUAAAGGUUUUUCGCUUGAGGAUGAGUCCGCGUGAGAUUAGCUAGUUGGUGAGGUAAUGGCUCACCAAGGCGACGAUCUCUAGCUGGUCUGAGAGGAUGAUCAGCCACACUGGAACUGAGACACGGUCCAGACUCCUACGGGAGGCAGCAGUAGGGAAUAUUGCACAAUGGAGGAAACUCUGAUGCAGCGACGCCGCGUGAGUGAUGAAGGCCUUCGGGUCGUAAAGCUCUGUCGCAGGGGAAUAAGACAGUGAAUGUACCCUGCAAGAAAGGAUCGGCUAACUUCGUGCCAGCAGCCGCGGUAAGACGAGGGAUCCUAGCGUUGUUCGGAAUUAUUGGGCGUAAAGCGGGUGUAGGUGGCUUUGUAAGUCAGGUGUGAAAUCCCAGGGCUCAACCCUGGACGUGCAUUUGAUACUGCGAAGCUUGAGUGUAGGAGAGGAUAGUAGAAUUCCUGGUGUAGUGGUGAAAUACGUAGAUAUCAGGAGGAAUACCNGAGGCGAAGGCGGCUAUCUGGCCUA